GACGAACGCUGGCGGCGUGCUUAACACAUGCAAGUCGAACGGAAAGGCCCUGCUUUUGUGGGGUGCUCGAGUGGCGAACGGGUGAGUAACACGUGAGUAACCUGCCCUUGACUUUGGGAUAACUUCAGGAAACUGGGGCUAAUACCGGAUAGGAGCUCCUGCUGCAGGGUGGGGGUUGGAAAGUUUCGGCGGUUGGGGAUGGACUGGCGGCUUAUCAGCUUGUUGGUGGGGUAGUGGCUUACCAAGGCUUUGGCGGGUAGCCGGCCUGAGAGGGUGAACGGCCACAUUGGGACUGCGAUACGGCCCAGACUCCUACGGGAGGCAGCAGUGGGGAAUAUUGCACAAUGGGCGGAAGCCUGAUGCAGCAACGCCGCGUGCGGGAUGACGGCCUUCGGGUUGUAAACCGCUUUCGCCUGUGACGAAGCGUGAGUGACGGUAAUGGGUAAAGAAGCACCGGCUAACUACGUG
This 468-nucleotide ribosomal RNA is filed under the name uncultured bacterium. RNAcentral describes it as "partial 16S ribosomal RNA". It matches the Rfam family "Bacterial small subunit ribosomal RNA", at positions 28 to 507 of the family's 1533-position model. The record is from RNAcentral.